GAAUGUUUUUUGAAUUUUUCCUUUAACAAAAUUAUAAGAAGGGUCCUACAUUCUUGAGGCUAAAAUUUGUUUAACCAACUAGUCGAGAUACUGUUUUGCCAUUUUAAAUGUCGGAUCUGUAAGUCACAAAUAAUGUUUCUAGACCUUAAAUUACCUUGUUUUUGAAUGCUGGAUUAAGAAACUAGCAGACCACAAACACCAAAGGGAAUACGCGUUACGGCUUAAAAGUUAGCUGACUUGGUACUGUUUUCUGUAAUAUAUUUUCUACCAAAAUUUAAAUUGUAGAAUGCGACUUCUCAAAAACAUCAAAAUUCUUUAGCAAUGCCCAUUUAUUAUUACUUCGUUUACUGUAGGCAGCUUCUCGGCUGUGUAAAUUUCGGAAUUAAAAGUCUGCGUGGCAAAAAGGAAGUUUUCACGAAUCGAGCUUGUAAUUAAUUAGAGCACACAGUCGCUAAAAUAAGUAAAGCCUUCAAAACUACCGGGUGUUAAUUUUCUAUAGUGGGAAAUAAAACAAAGUCUUCAAUUGUUCAUCAAAAAUCGCACCUAUUAGGGUAUUUGACACAAUUGAGCAUGGGUAUACAGACAACAAAUAUGUAAAAAAAAUAAAAAAUAAAAUAAAUAAAUAAUAAAAUUAUUUAUGAUAGCCAAUAUUAAAUAAGCAAUUUUGAGAGCAAAAUUAAUUUCUCAGAAUAUUAAAAAAGCAGCGCCAACAACAAUUUCACAAGCAAGAGAUGACAAUGUUUCAUACAACCCCAUUUAUAAGUUUUUAUUAUUUGUACAUUUAUCAUUUUACUUUUUACAUUUGUUUUAA
This 811-nucleotide long non-coding RNA is filed under the name Schizosaccharomyces pombe (fission yeast). The record is from RNAcentral. Lineage: Eukaryota; Fungi; Ascomycota; Schizosaccharomycetes; Schizosaccharomycetales; Schizosaccharomycetaceae.